AACGAACGCUGGCGGCAUGCCUAACACAUGCAAGUCGAACGAGACCUUCGGGUCUAGUGGCGCACGGGUGCGUAACGCGUGGGAACCUGCCCUUAGGUUCGGAAUAACUCCCCGAAAGGGGUGCUAAUACCGGAUAAUGUCUUCGGACCAAAGAUUUAUCGCCUUUGGAUGGGCCCGCGUUGGAUUAGCUAGUUGGUAGGGUAAAAGCCUACCAAGGCGACGAUCCAUAGCUGGUCUGAGAGGAUGAUCAGCCACACUGGGACUGAGACACGGCCCAGACUCCUACGAGAGGCAGCAGUGGGGAAUAUUGGACAAUGAGCGAAAGCCUGAUCCAUCAAUGCCACGUGAAUGAUGAAGGCCUUAGGGUUGUAAAGCUAUUUUACCCGGGAUGAUAAUGACAGUACCGGGAGAAUAAGCUCCGGCUAACUCCGUG
Molecule: ribosomal RNA, 433 nt
Filed under: uncultured bacterium
Lineage: Bacteria
Description: partial 16S ribosomal RNA
Rfam family: Bacterial small subunit ribosomal RNA
Source: RNAcentral